Struthio camelus australis is the source of this 4187-nucleotide long non-coding RNA. RefSeq lists it as uncharacterized. The record is from RefSeq and is a predicted model, not a curated record. NCBI's taxonomy places the organism in Eukaryota, Metazoa, Chordata, Aves, Struthioniformes, Struthionidae.
UUUAACUUAAAAAAUGCAAAACAGCAACAAGGUUCUAAAACAUGUUUUUCAUUGGGAAAAUAGAGGUAGACGAUGAUGACAAUUACAAUUCAGGCGGAAGUCAAAGUAGUGACAGGAUUCUUAAUAUAAAGAGACACCUCUGUCAAAGUCUGUAGAUUGAAAUCAAAAUGCUGUGGUUUAUCAAUAAUUGGCAUUUUUAGUUUGUUUGCUAAAUAUCACAGGCAGCAAACCCCAUCUCUCUCUUCAAGAAUUAAAUUUGCUAUUAGUCAUCACAUUCUAACCAGGUUAUGGCAGUGCUGCAGCUAACAAUGACUAAAACCCAACUCUUAUUAUUUGCCAGUAAUACGUUUUGUGGAUUUAUUCUUUCUGCAGUGAAAGCUAAUGGAAAAAUGAAGUGUUCUGUAAAGCUUGAGACACUCGUGAAAAGCAUCUGCUAUACGUAAAGACCUCUUGCCACUCAGCAGACACCAACCAUGGUUUCACAGUUUGCCCAGAAGACUUCACAAAUGACAUGUGUGAUGAUGGAUCAGGAGGAAGCAAGGUCCGGCUAGGUUCACCAGCUGGAGUCCAUUGUUCACUAUGGAUGAGUCCUUGGCUGUCUCUGAAGAGGAGGGUUUCAUUUCAUAUGCAACAAAGAUUGUCUUUUCGUGCAGAUAAACCAGCACUGUAGCAUACUUCUGGUUUUUGUGACCUCUCCAAAACCUUUGCGCAGGCAUUUCCUGAUUCCUGGAUUCUGCAGAUUUAGAACCAAAAGAGCCUGAAGAGCAGAGCAUCUGCUCUUUGGAUCCCAUGCACUAUAUUUUAAAGAGCGCGAGUGUUGUAAGCAGUUGGGAUGUGCUUUCUAAAUACAGCCUUCAAGCUUCGCUGCGAUAUGAAGUCUGAGAGUUUCUAUCGUACACAUGCGUCAUGUUCACUUUCAACUGGCUUGAGUCAGAAUGUUGAAGAAAGCAGAUUCUGGAGAUUGUUCCCACAUGAAGCAUUCCCCCACAUCAGUCUGUCACUGCCGCGGAGUCACCGAUACAACAUCCCACUGUUCCUAAGAGAUCCAUGAGCGCUUGCUGAUAUGCCUUUGCCAGGCUUCUCCUGUCUUAUUAAAAAAUAGGAUUUCAUUUAACUCCUCAGAGAGCAAUGGCUUGUCAGAGGAGACUACAAAAGCCUGCAAGCCCUUCCAGCUGGUGAAGAGCAAAUUUUUGAGCAGCUCCUGCCAUCUUGUGGGAUUGAGGAGAACUUUCACUUUGAUUAUUUGUAUUUGGGAAGUCAAAGCUUUCCUUCCUUCCCCACCAACUAGUCAUGGAAAGGAUCACUGAGCCUAGAGGUACACCCCUUUUUGCAGGAACAGACUGGGGAAAACCCACUGCCCUCAGUGGCACGGCUCUGCUGCCCCUGUGGGCAGGUUGGCCAGCUGUAGGUUUUUAGAGGAAGGGAUUGAAAUAUGCAGGGGCUUCUCUUACUGUUGGUCAUACUGGGGGAUUCCUGUGGCCCCAGCUAAGGCGUGGACUGUAGAAGCAUUGCUUCCGUAUCCAGGGUUGUUGCCAGAGAGGCCGAACCACUGAGUGUGGGGUUGGAAACCAAGCAACCCCAGCUAACCCCAUCGUGCUGUGUGGGUGGCCCCAGACAAGGCUCUGAGCAUAGAGAGAGAGGCCAAUAAUUUCUGAGUAAUAAUCCUGUGUUUGUCUUCUCUCGAAACUUCCCACUGCAACGAGCAACGGAUUUGCUCUCUGUAAAUAAUGCAAGCAACUGCCAGUACAUUAACCACCCUGUCCUAUAGAGCUGCUGGUUGUGCAAUAAUUAAAGCACAACAUGGUUUGAAUACCAGAGGCCCAGGUGAAUGCACCCAAGUUGUUGUUAACGGUUGGCAACUGAAAAAGUCUUUGUAGUUUGGUGUGAUGCCUGAGUAAGUGGCAACAAUAUCUUGGAUGUAACAAAUUUGUUUUUACAUCCAUGCACACCAUCAGCUUGAUGGCUUUUUUUUUGGUCUUGCUAGAUGCAGCCAGCUGAAAUUAGCGUGAGCCUUUGUUCGCUUCAGCCUCCUUUGGGUUGAACUCUUCCAUAGAUCAGGUUUUCAUGCGUUUCCAAACUUUUGGGUGACUGAUUUUGCAAUGUGAAAAAUGCUCCUUUCAUAUUUUCAGCUUUUUUUUGUAUUUUCUCCGUUUAAAAACACACUCAGCCAAAAGACAGAGAUUUCUUCAGCAGCGCGUAAUAAUAGAUAGCAGGAGGAGGUUCUCAUAGCUUUAGCAGAUCUGUCCUAGAAGCCAAUAGGAAUCUUUCAAAGUGGGUUUCAUUGGUGCUCUGACAGCAGGGAAGCCUUGAGAUCUUGGAUGCUCUUCCAGGCUCUAGAGGGGAAUAGUCUGGUGGACAUUAGAUUUAUCCACUCAUUCUCCCAUUACCUUCUCUGCCUGCUGUUCCCAGACCUAAUAUCCGUACUGUCUUAGUUCCUGUAUGACUCUGCAUUCAUAAUCUACAUUCCUGCCUCCCCGUAGCCCUUUGACCUCAAAGACUCCUAGUAUCUUUUCUUUGCCAUCUCCAUCCCAGGCUCUGUUUCCCAGACACUUUAUCGCACUUUACUUCACAGAUUUUCUCUGCCGCAUUCCAGGUCUAGGUCCCUCCUCAGAGUAGGACACUUUCCCUCGCCGUACUGCCUGGGUGUCAGCACCUGCACAAGUGAGACAGACAGACUGCUGCCUCACUUUCCCUUGCUCUUGCUUCAGUGUGACCCAGAGAAGCUCCAGAUAAGUUGUGAGUACUGGGAGAGCCUUGUUCUGUCAGGUGUAGGCCUGGGUUGUGUUUUUAUGAGGAUGGCAUAUGUACAUGCAGUACAGCGAUGCAGAAGAUCUGUGUGACUCAAGCAUGAGCAGUUGCUCUGUGGGGAUGGAUGAUGCAUGCACAACCUUGGCAUGCAGAGGAGUUGAAUGAAUUCAUGCUCAGUGUGAUGAAAUUCGAGCCGUUACGUGAAGCUGUGAAACAGAUCUUUACUGAAGAUGAAUAAGUUGCAGUCUUUCAAAGGCUUUGUAUUUUGUGCAAACGUGGGCAGAUUUUCUAGGGAGCAGCAGGUCCAGGCCAAAUUUCAACACGCUCGCUCAUCAAAAGUGCUUCUCUAGCUUUACUUUAAUGAAAAUAAAAAUUAAUAAAACAUCAAGAAAACAACCGUGAACACUGUCAUUUGAACAACAAAAGCAAUAUUUUUCCUUAGCCUUGUUCUUAAAAAUGGAUGGAUAGUUUUGACUGAACUUUUCCAUAGAAUCAGGGACUAAGGCUAAUAGUUUCUCACUUAGUAUGGAAAAUUGCAGCCCGGUAGGUCUGUCUGACAAAUGCAUGAGUAACUGAGAUCUGAGCUCUGCCAGGGGAUGCAUCAGGCAUCUUUAAAAAUAGGGAGUUCUGCUGAUCCUGCCUAUUCAAAAGUUUUUCUAACUCAGAGUACACAUUUAUUGUCCUGAUAAAAUAACUCUGUAACUCCUUUUCAUGUGGAUGAAAUUGUCACCUAUUACCCAGUAUUAGCCAGAUAUGAGGAUCUGGGUGCAGACUAGCUAAUUAACAAUUAGUCUGUAUUAGAUUAAGGUACUAAGAAGUUCAGAGAAACAUUGAGGAACCUGUUGCAACCAAAAGGGUCUGUCCCUUAUUGGAAUAUCCUUCAUUGCAGUGCCUUGUGGCAUACAUUGCCAUGUUUUCAUUUACAGGAGCUGACAGAAACUAGAAAUACUUGUGGGGUUGGGUGCUGCAUAGGCUGUCUCUCUCUGAACCUCAUGUAAAGUUAACCCUCACUUUUCUGACAUUAUAUAUAAGCUAACUCUGCCGUCGCUUUGUAGCCUUGGACGGUACAAGCCAGAAUCUCUGGAACAAAGAUUUUGGUAGCAUGUGUUACCGUGAUGACUACCUCUCCUUUGCACAUGGGAGUCUCAUGUGUAUUGGUGGAGACCGAGGUGACGUAAAUAAUACUGAAAAUAGUCCUAAAAGUUAUGUCUUUGACCGCAGCAUGGAAGAGGAUUGAAGUAAAAGGGAAUCGAAUCCCAAAGCUGCAUGAAUUCUCUGAAUUCUAUUAAGACUUUUGUCUCCCAGUUUGCCCUGUGCUGAGAAACACACAGAAAGAAUCAGAAAGAAUCUAGACUUUUAGUUAAACAAGAAGAAAUGCAACAGAACUGUCAUCUUUGAGUGAAAAUGAAAUAAAGACUACCUUUUCAUUACUUUGAAAA